Long non-coding RNA from Esox lucius (northern pike), 558 nucleotides. RefSeq lists it as uncharacterized. The transcript is spliced from 3 exons. Lineage: Eukaryota; Metazoa; Chordata; Actinopteri; Esociformes; Esocidae. The record is from RefSeq and is a predicted model, not a curated record.
GCACAGAUGCUGAGAUGUUGAAAAAUCUAUUUUGCUGCGUUAUACUUUUAGGAGUAUUUUCUUUCUCUGUAUAUUUUUGGUAUCAUUUGAACUACUCAAAUGUAACAGAUUUGAUUAAAGGUUAUAAAGAUUUGCUGUACAUUUCAAAGGAUAACCGAAGUGAAGAUGGAUUAAAGUCAGAUGUUUACAGUCAUGUUCACAUUGAUUUAGACUUAUGGAAAACCAGAAUAUUGAAGGAAAAUAAUGUAACUACAGCAACCAACAUCUCCAAGGCCACCCUUGUGACCAAAGCAUUAAACAAAUGCCCAGAUCCCUCGCCAUUUCUUGUGGGUCCAACAAGGGUUGAGUUCUCUACACCUGUCAGUUUGGAUACAGUCAUUAAGGAGAACCCACAUCUGCAGGUCGGAGGUCGCUACAAGCCAGACAACUGCGUCGCCCUUCAGAAGGUUGCUGUCAUCAUUCCCUUCCGUAAUCGUGAGGAACACCUCAAGUUUUGGCUCCACUACCUCCAUCCUUUCUUACAGCGCCAACAGCUGGACUACGGCGUCUAUGUUAUUA